This 74-nucleotide ribosomal RNA is filed under the name Fervidobacterium pennivorans. RNAcentral's name for it is "partial 23S ribosomal RNA". The record is from RNAcentral. Lineage: Bacteria; Thermotogati; Thermotogota; Thermotogae; Thermotogales; Fervidobacteriaceae.
GUUGGGGGGUGUCCCCUCUUUAAAGGAUAAUGCGGUUUUUGGAAAGUUUCAAUACUUUUAGUUAACAUUAUCAA